AAACGUCAAAGGAAUUGACGGGACCCGCACAAGCGGUGGAUGAUGUGGUUUAAUUCGAUGCAACGCGAAAACCUUACCCACCUUUGACAUGUACGGAACCCUUUAGAGAUAGAGGGGUGCUCGAAAGAGAGCCGUAACACAGGUGCUGCAUGGCUGUCGUCAGCUCGUGUCGUGAGAUGUUGGGUUAAGUCCCGCAACGAGCGCAACCCUUGUCAUUAGUUGCUACAUUCAGUUGGGCACUCUAAUGAGACUGCCGGUGACAAGCCGGAGGAAGGUGGGGAUGACGUCAAGUCCUCAUGGCCCUUAUAGGUGGGGCUACACACGUCAUACAAUGGCUGGUACAAAGGGUUGCCAACCCGCGAGGGGGAGCCAAUCCCAUAAAGCCAGUCGUAGUCCGGAUCGUAGUCUGCAACUCGACUACGUGAAGUCGGAAUCGCUAGUAAUCGUGGAUCAGAAUGUCACGGUGAAUACGUUCCCGGGUCUU
Molecule: ribosomal RNA, 484 nt
Filed under: uncultured Rhodoferax sp.
Lineage: Bacteria; Pseudomonadati; Pseudomonadota; Betaproteobacteria; Burkholderiales; Comamonadaceae
Description: bacterial SSU rRNA
Rfam family: Bacterial small subunit ribosomal RNA
Source: RNAcentral